Molecule: ribosomal RNA, 253 nt
Filed under: uncultured bacterium
Lineage: Bacteria
Description: partial 16S ribosomal RNA
Rfam family: Bacterial small subunit ribosomal RNA
Source: RNAcentral
GACGAACCGUGCGAACGUUGUUCGGAAUCACUGGGCUUAAAGGGCGCGUAGGCGGACUGCCAAGUCCGGGGUGAAAUCUUUCGGCUCAACCGGAAAAUAGCCUCGGAGACUGGCGGUCUAGAGUGAGGUAGGGGCAGCUGGAACUUCCGGUGGAGCGGUGAAAUGCGUUGAUAUCGGAAGGAACGCCGGUGGCGAAAGCGGCGAGCUGGAUCACUACUGACGCUGAGGAACGAAAGCUAGGGGAGCAAACAGG